GCCCGGUUAGCUCAAUCGGUAGAGCGUGGGACUUUUACAGACCUAUAAGGAUGUAAUCCCAAGGUUGCGGGUUCGAGCCCCGCAUCGGGCU
Non-coding RNA from Xylariaceae sp. FL1019, 91 nucleotides. The record is from the annotation of a GenBank genome assembly. Lineage: Eukaryota; Fungi; Ascomycota; Sordariomycetes; Xylariales; Xylariaceae.